RNAcentral lists this unclassified non-coding RNA (340 nucleotides) under uncultured fungus. Its description in RNAcentral is "partial contains 5.8S ribosomal RNA and internal transcribed spacer 2". The stretch from base 1 to 133 matches the Rfam family "5.8S ribosomal RNA", at positions 22 to 154 of the family's 154-position model. Lineage: Eukaryota; Fungi. The record is from RNAcentral.
UGGUUCCAGCAUCGAUGAAGAACGCAGCGAAUUGCGAUAAGUAAUGUGAAUUGCAGAAUUUAGUGAAUCAUCGAGUCUUUGAACGCACAUUGCGCCCCCUGGCAUUCCGGAGGGCAUGCCUGUUCGAGCGUCAUUACACACCUCAAGCGCAGCUUGGUCAUGGGUGAUUUUUGUCUCGUUGAGACACACCUAAAAGAUAGUGGCAGUGUCAGCCUGUACACGAGCGCAUUAAAUCUUUUACUCGCUCAGUGACUGCUUGGCUGACAAUUGCCGGCCAAAACCAAUGGGUGCUAUGCACCCCCUAGAUAUUGACCUCGGAUCAGGUAGGAAUACCCGCUGA